CAACAGGGAUUGCCCUAGUAACGGCGAGUGAAGCGGCAACAGCUCAAAUUUGAAAUCUGGCCUUCGGGUCCGAGUUGUAAUUUGUAGAGGAUGCUUUUGGCGCGGUGCCUUCCGAGUUCUCUGGAACGAGACGCCUUAGAGGGUGAGAGCCCCGUACGGUUGGACACCAAGCCUCUGUAAAGCUCCUUCGACGAGUCGAGUAGUUUGGGAAUGCUGCUCUAAAUGGGAGGUAAAUUUCUUCUAAAGCUAAAUAUUGGCCAGAGACCGAUAGCGCACAAGUAGAGUGAUCGAAAGAUGAAAAGCACUUUGAAAAGAGGGUUAAAUAGCACGUGAAAUUGUUGAAAGGGAAGCGUUUGCGACCAGACCUUUUCCUAGCGGAUCAUCCGGUGUUCUCACCGGUGCACUUCGCUAGGUCGAGGCCAGCAUCGGUUUUCGUAGGGGGAUAAAAGCCUUGGGAACGUAGCUCCUUCGGGAGUGUUAUAGCCCUUGGCACAAUACCCUUACGGGGACCGAGGACCGCGCUUUUUAGCAAGGAUGCUGGCGUAAUGGUCGUCAACGA
RNAcentral lists this ribosomal RNA (559 nucleotides) under Xylaria sp. SGLAf56. Its description in RNAcentral is "eukaryotic LSU rRNA". It matches the Rfam family "Eukaryotic large subunit ribosomal RNA", at positions 66 to 647 of the family's 3401-position model. The record is from RNAcentral. Lineage: Eukaryota; Fungi; Ascomycota; Sordariomycetes; Xylariales; Xylariaceae. RNAcentral also lists the same sequence under 1 other name.